ACGGGUGAGUAACGCGUGGGCAACCUGCCCUAUCGCCCGGGAUAACCCUCGGAAACGAGGGCUAAUACCGGAUGCGGUCACCGGCUCGCAUGAGCGGGUGACGAAAGGGCCAUGGGUCCGCGAUAGGAUGGGCCCGCGUCCCAUUAGCUAGUUGGUGGGGUAACGGCCCACCAAGGCGACGAUGGGUAGCCGGCCUGAGAGGGUGGACGGCCACACUGGCACUGAGACACGGGCCAGACUCCUACGGGAGGCAGCAGUAGGGAAUCUUGCGCAAUGGGCGAAAGCCUGACGCAGCGACGCCGCGUGGGGGAUGAAGGUCUUCGGAUCGUAAACCCCUGUCUUUGGGGACGAAGCAUGACGGUACCCAAGGAGGAAGCCCCGGCUAACUACGUGCCAGCAGCCGCGGUAAAACGUAGGGGGCGAGCGUUGUCCGGAAUUACUGGGCGUAAAGGGUGCGUAGGCGGCCGCUUAAGUCCUGUGUGAAAGGCCCCGGCUUAACCGGGGAGGGUCAUGGGAAACUGGGCGGCUUGAGUGCCGGAGAGGGUGGCGGAAUUCCCGGUGUAG
RNAcentral lists this ribosomal RNA (564 nucleotides) under uncultured bacterium. RNAcentral's name for it is "bacterial SSU rRNA". It matches the Rfam family "Bacterial small subunit ribosomal RNA", at positions 102 to 678 of the family's 1533-position model. The record is from RNAcentral.